UCCAGUCAUUUCUGUUAAUUUGCAGAGGG
Molecule: non-coding RNA, 29 nt
Filed under: Rattus norvegicus (Norway rat)
Lineage: Eukaryota; Metazoa; Chordata; Mammalia; Rodentia; Muridae
Source: RNAcentral